RNAcentral lists this transfer RNA (101 nucleotides) under Paenibacillus konkukensis. RNAcentral describes it as "tRNA-Met". Lineage: Bacteria; Bacillati; Bacillota; Bacilli; Caryophanales; Paenibacillaceae. The record is from RNAcentral.
GCUUUCUUGGUUACGGCCGCACAAGGCGCCAACACUUCAUACGUGUAGGAGCUGUUCAGCGAGUAAGGCUUGCCGGCCGGUCCUGUCGGCCAGGAAACACC